UACGUAGGCAGCGAGCGUUGUUCGGAGUUACUGGGCGUAAAGGGUGUGUAGGCGGUUGUUUAAGUUUGGUGUGAAAUCUCCCGGCUCAACUGGGAGGGUGCGCCGAAUACUGAAUGACUAGAGUGCGGGAGAGGAAAGUGGAAUUCCUGGAGUAGCGGUGAAAUGCGUAGAUAUCAGGAGGAACACCGGUGGUGUAGACGGCUUUCUGGACCGUAACUGACGCUGAGACACGAAAGCGUGGGUAGCAAACAGG
This 253-nucleotide ribosomal RNA is filed under the name uncultured bacterium. Its description in RNAcentral is "partial 16S ribosomal RNA". It matches the Rfam family "Bacterial small subunit ribosomal RNA", at positions 524 to 776 of the family's 1533-position model. The record is from RNAcentral.